AUACGGAGGGUGCAAGCGUUACUCGGAAUCACUGGGCGUAAAGGAUGCGUAGGCGGAUAAUCAAGUCAAAAGUGAAAUCCCACGGCUUAACCGUGGAACUGCUUUCGAAACUGGUUAUCUAGAAUAUGGAAGAGGCAGAUGGAAUUAGUGGUGUAGGGGUAAAAUCCGUAGAGAUCACUAGGAAUACCGAUUGCGAAGGCGAUCUGCUGGGACAUUCUUGACGCUGAGGCAUGAAAGCGUGGGGAGCAAACAGGAUUAGAAACCCCAGUAGUCC
Molecule: ribosomal RNA, 274 nt
Filed under: uncultured bacterium
Lineage: Bacteria
Description: partial 16S ribosomal RNA
Rfam family: Bacterial small subunit ribosomal RNA
Source: RNAcentral